Molecule: long non-coding RNA, 2384 nt
Organism: Clupea harengus (Atlantic herring)
Lineage: Eukaryota; Metazoa; Chordata; Actinopteri; Clupeiformes; Clupeidae
Source: Ensembl
CAUUUUCACAUUACGCAUUCACUCUUGCUUUCUACCAGACAAUUUGUGCAUACACACACACACGCGCACACACGCUCACUCACACACAGGCGGGAGUGUUUUGCAGUACUCUGCUGAAAAUGAGAAGGCUUCCAGGUAUACGCUGAGAAGGAGAAGAGGAAAUGGGGUAUUGGGGGGGGGAUGGGGGGGACAGGGGAGGCGGGGGUCCUGAGAUGGAUGGGAGGGCCAGGCCGUUCUGACAAGGUCCCACUCUCCAGGUGUGGAGACUCUUUGAAGAUGCUGCCUCUGCAUACUCAUACCCUCCCUCUCCCUCACGUCCUCCUCCUCCCUCUCUCUCUCCCUCUCCCUCUCUCUCUCCCUCUCUCUCUCUCUCUCUCUGUCUCUCGUUCUCUUUCUCUCUCUGCUUGCCCCAACAGCUCUGUCUCUUCUUUCCGAGUGUGUCUUUCUGUUGCCUUCCCCUCUCUUUGAAGGCUGGGUUUGUCACACGCGCUACGCGUACUGCUGAGCAGGCAUAUCCAAUAGCGGAGACAUUUCAGGCCAUUCAAAUUCAUACCACCCUGAGCCUUAGUGUGGUACCAGCCUGCCUGUGAGUGAGUGAGUGCAUGUGUGUGGUUUGCGCCUUGUGUAUGUGGAGGCGUGUGUUUAUUUCCCCUGUGGGAGGGGUGCUAUUUUUCAUAUUUUUUCUUUUUUUUGUGCUAAUUUCAUCGUUGCUUGAUACGGCAUUACUCCGUGUCCUGGAGUGCUUAGAGCCCUCCGUCCACGCUGUCCUUUUCUGAGGGAUGAAUGGCUGUGAGGUGAUGGAUGUAGGUGGGGUUUGCUGACCCAAACAGAGAAAAAGAGAGAGGGAGAGAGGGGGCUGGGAAGAAAAACAGAGAGGGAGGGAGGGAGGGAGGGAGAGAGGGCGAGAGAGAGAGAGAGAGAGAGAGAGAGAGAGAGAGAGAGAGAGAGAGAGAGAGAGAGAGAGGGAGUUGCUGGAGCCAGUUGUCCAGGGCCGAGACUGGUCUGUGUGGCUGCCUGGCUGGCUGAGACUGGUCUGUGUGGCUGCCUGGCUGGCCACUUGGUCUGUGCUCAUGUCCUGCAAACAUGAUUUACUGCCACCGCAGGGGAGGCCACACUACUGUCUGUGUGUGAUGAUUAGAUCGGCCCGAAAAUGGCACAAAUCGAAUCAAACGUAUCCAAGCGAAAAGCUGAACUCUCUGGCUUCUCACCGCCACGCAGCGUAGCUCUCAGAUGUAGUGCUAGUGCUCUGCCUGUCUGCCCUUGGCUGUGGGAGCCUCUGCUUAAGUGAAUGAAGCGCCACGGUGGGGUUUGUGCCAGCUGCGUCGCCAGAGCAGGAAACCUCAUAUGCUCGAUGAAUAAUGAAAGCGCUAGUAGUAAGCCUCAGCGCUCCAUUCACAUCCAGUCGAGCUCUUUUAUUUCAUUAUUUCCACUCUCUUGCCACUGUGUUUUUUUUUUUUUUUAGUCUUUCUCAUGGAGGUUUUCAGCAUUGCCCAGCAACCAAGAUGCACAAAGCAUUAAGGUGUUCCUCAGAUGCAGAGAACCCCCUUUGUGUGUGUGUGUGUGUGUGUGUGAGAGAGAGAGAGGGGGAGGGAGGGAGGGAGCAAGGAAAUGAAAGAUGACAAGAAAUUGUCUCUCUACCUGAUUAGACCAUUCUAAGCUUGGGGCCCCUUUUUUUGCUAGCAUUCUUUAUCUGAAUGAUCACUACAAAUAGAUUAAAGGCGAGAAAAUCGCCCAUUACAGCAGAUUAUCAUGCGCUAAUCCUCACAUUAUCAUAUCAUACAGUUACAAUCCACAUUGCAUUAUGGUAAAGUGGCAGUCAAAAGAGGAUUCCCUGAAACUGCUUCCAUGUAAAAGAACCAUGAAGGCUCUUGGCUCCCACAGACUCUUUGUAAGGAUAAGAGUACAGCUUACAUAUGCCAAAUUUGUAUUUGGUAUUUGUAUUAGUUGUGCAAUGAAAUGACUCCUGAUUAGAUAUGUCCUCAUGAACCUAUCCAUAAGCAUAUACAUCAACCCACUGACUCUAUCUUAAAACCAGCUGACGCUUCUAUUAACGGUUGUCAUGAUGUGUUGUUUUCAGUCAGCCACACAGACAUUCAUCCGUCUUUUGAUCUGAUUCUUUGUUUUUUCCCGCUCUCCUCUGCCCUGGUGUACGAGCAGGUCCCAGCGCUCCUAUGUUGCCUUUCAUUGUGACGUCUCUCCCGGUCUCUGGUGACAUUUGACUGCUUAGUGACUUCACGGAUCAUGAGAGGACACGGAGACUUUGACGUCUUUGUGAAGGCUGUCAUUUCCCAUCGGGCCGCGCUCAUUAUCAUCUCAUUUGCACAAUCCCCUACCUCUCAGCUGUUUGCUCUGCUUUAAAAGGAGAUCCUCCCGACAUGACACAC